RNAcentral lists this ribosomal RNA (253 nucleotides) under uncultured bacterium. Its description in RNAcentral is "partial 16S ribosomal RNA". It matches the Rfam family "Bacterial small subunit ribosomal RNA", at positions 524 to 776 of the family's 1533-position model. The record is from RNAcentral.
UACGAAGGGGGCUAGCGUUGCUCGGAAUCACUGGGCGUAAAGGGUGCGUAGGCGGGUCUUUAGGUCAGGGGUGAAAUCCUGGAGCUCAACUCCAGAACUGCCUUUGAUACUGAAGAUCUUGAGUUCGGGAGAGGUGAGUGGAACUGCGAGUGUAGAGGUGAAAUUCGUAGAUAUUCGCAAGAACACCAGUGGCGAAGGCGGCUCACUGGCCCGAUACUGACGCUGAGGCACGAAAGCGUGGGGAGCAAACAGG